Thunnus maccoyii (southern bluefin tuna) is the source of this 868-nucleotide long non-coding RNA. RefSeq lists it as uncharacterized. The record is from RefSeq and is a predicted model, not a curated record. NCBI's taxonomy places the organism in Eukaryota, Metazoa, Chordata, Actinopteri, Scombriformes, Scombridae. The transcript has 4 exons.
GCUCAUUCAUUUUCUAGGAAGCAAGGCUUUUGUGUGUAAGUGUUUAGCAAACUUGUAACCUGUCUUCCCUCCACUAUCCCACAUCUGGCUGAAGAAGAAGAAGAAGAAUGACUUUAACCACACUCUUUGAUUAAUAUGGCAUUAGCUAACGCUACAGAGCCAUCAUUUAGCAUUGCAUUCAUGUUUGACAUGGGCUGUGUUCAUCAAGGUGAGGAAGAUGUCAAUCAAUGUUUUUGAGCUAGGUUUUCUAAUAGAUGUUGACAUUUAUUUUCACUCAGAUUUUUGUGGAUGCUUAAUGAAACACUCAACUUUAAUAUCAUAUAUGCAUUUUUACUAUUUCAAACCAAAUUUCCAGAGGCUUUAAUGUUGUUAGCCUAUGGUUUUAUGCUGGCUUCUGGAGAAGUUAUUAAAAUGCAUUUUUUUAAUGAAUUGGGUGGGGAUUAACCAGGAUUGUGCGGAAAACUGCCAAUCUAAUCUGGCAACACUGCUGAUGGCAUGCCAUUGCCAGGUCUGCCCACCAAUGAGGAUGGAGAGGAGGCCACACUGGUUGGACAGAUGAUGACUUGCAAGGCUGACACCGAAGCCAAGCAGGCCCAAAAUGACCCUGAAGCAUGCCCUAUAACAAGCAGGCAGAGAUGAACAAGAUGGACAGUGGCUACAAGAAUGAUCAGGACUCCCUGCAGUCUGUGUGAAGCAGCAAGGAGCAACUACAGGCUAGGAAGGAGGAGAGUCUGCUGGACCAAAGAAGACGGCCAACCAUGCAGAAACUGCGAGAGGAAUGAUCAUCAUACCUGGAGUACCAGAAACUGACGCGUGAGAUCCACCACUUGUCACAGCUGAGGAGAUCCAGAGGUCAGCUACUCUUCAG